UUUCGUCUCUCAGCUACACCAUUCAUCGUAGGACUUCCUGGCAUAGUAUAUUGAGGGACAAUCCCACACUCAUCUAGGAAUUUAGCAAAUGGCCCUGGACCUUAUUCACCUGAACCAUCAUAUCGACCAUAGUAUUCACCACCACGGUCAGAUCUAACGGAUUUAAUUCUUUUGCUUAGUUGAUUUUCAACUUCAGCCUUAAANN
This 205-nucleotide long non-coding RNA is filed under the name Nicotiana benthamiana. RNAcentral's name for it is "long non-coding RNA (NBEN_LNC018464)". The record is from RNAcentral. Lineage: Eukaryota; Viridiplantae; Streptophyta; Magnoliopsida; Solanales; Solanaceae.